AAAACCCUCAUCCUUAUAUUGGCAGUGCAUCCUUUUGCCAACACCAGAACAACUAUCCUGGAGCAAGCUCAAUGUAAAAAGAGACAGCGGCUUCAGAAUGUGAUCGUCAACUCCAUCCUCUUUCAUCAACUUGCACAAUAGUUACAGGAUUAUUUGCAAGGAUCAGAGGAGGUAACCAUCGCCACCCUUGGAACCACAAACCCAAAGAUUAACAUCAGUAUAUUCAUGCAUCUUCAGAAUUCGCACGACUGGUUAACUCCAAGUACAUUCGUUGCAUGGUUUAAGAGAGCUCCCUGAUCAUGUAAGUGCAACUUUACAGGAAAUGCAUCCUUGAACGUCGUCUUGAGCAUUAAAUAAUACCAGUCCUGCGUGCUCUCUGUUGAGCUGAAUCUUGUGAACCACAACUCCGUGAUUGCACACAAUACUGGACACGACUCGCAGAUCAAGGAACCGAGGGGAAGACUAAAUAAAUUUAUCUUGGUUAAGUGCGUCAUUGGCAAGUCUUAUGGGGAAGAUUAGUGCGAACAAUCAGACCAGGGAAAUCAAAAUCUGCAACGGUGUGCUCCUUGCAUUUCUGAUUCAUUUGCAAAAACCAUGCAUCCUUCUCAAGCGAGCGUCGAGAUAAGGACUGUCCUACACAUUGUAGUAAAUAAGGAUAAAGGAUAAAUGGCAUAUCCUGAAACUUCACCACACAUGACUGCAUUCAACACAUUGGGUACCAAAAAAAAUAAUGAACAGAUUGUCUACUCUCCCAUCGUGUGAACUCAAGAAUCUCAAACUUAACUCUGGAUUGGAUUCCCAAGAGGCAGGAAGGUGUUCUGUUCCUGAAGUUCAAUCAACAAUACACAACAUCUGCACAAAAGUGUUGGUCCUGGUGUUGCAAAAGAUAAACACUCCAAAAAAAGGACUAUAAGUACACUGUGUUUUAUCCCAACCGCAUUAGCGUGGUAAUUGCAUUUAUUGCCUGGCUUACUAAGUUCUUAUAGGAUACACCAUCGCUCCGGUGAUAGUUAAUGAUGGUGUGAAUAAAAGAUCGGCGAUUUGCUGGAGUCGCCGAUUCCAGCAAAUCCUUUCUUGCAAGGUCAGGCACCUGGUUAGAUGGGCGUUCAUCCAGGAGGACAUCCCCUGCUGCACGAUGGCGGGGCAUAUUGUGCCCUCCCACGAGCUGAGCAGCAUAUCCUAAUUCCAUCCUAAUUCCAUCCUAAUUCCAUCCUAAUUCUGAACAAUUCCAAAUGUAGGCUAACACAAAGACAAUCACUGUUUCAGAAUUGAAAGGUUCACACAAAGGAAACAACUGACCGUGAUGCCAACUCCAGAAUACAACACAAAGUCCAUCGCCGUUUCCAUGCUGUCUGCCCAGCUAUGACAAAGCCAUAAAUAUUCCAGUGCGAAACUGAGGUACAUGUAUGAUGGACACUCCAUACGAGACCCAAAAACACGGAAAAUUCAUAACAAUGAGAUGAUUUUUAGCUAGCCAGGAACUCCUCCACGACGCGGUCACGGUAUCAAUUUGUUACACAAAAGCCGGAGAACAUGAACAUCAUGAAGAGAUGGACAAUGUGGACGAAUUCAUCCCGGUGCCGCAGAGGAUGAGGAGCUGCUGUUUUGAGAUGUGGUUUCGAUCACAGAGCGCCGUCGAUGCGAGCUGCCGUCCACAUCCCUCGGGAAGAGAAGUUUUCUAGGGGGGCUUCGUCUGGCGGCCCUAUUCUCUUGGUUUUUCGCGGGUUUUUGUUGUAGGGAGCUCCGUAUUUUUGGGUGCCAGGAUUGUUGCUGUUCCGGUGCGGUAUGUUGUGGUGACGGCGGCGGUGUUGCUGCAAUCUUGGUUUUGUUACGUUUCUCCUGUUGUCGUUCCGGUGGUCGACGCUCCUAGUGUUGCGACGUUGGUUUUGUAUUCUCUUCCUCGCGGUCCUGCAGUUGGUGAGAAAUCUGGUUUUUUCUUCGCGUUACUGUUCCGGUCGAGGGGGGCUGGUCGUCAUUCAAGGCGCUUCUGCAGCGCCGUUCCAGGCUUUUCUACUUUUUGUUGUAUUAUUUAUUGUCUGUGGCAGUCCUGCUUCGGAGUGUGUUGCGGUCAAGGCUGGUGUCCUAAUUCUCGUUUUCUGCUGAGUUUUUGUUCCUCGAGAGGCUGCGGAAGCUCUUUUUGGUCUAUGUCAGAGGACGUGAUCUGGUUUCCGUUCUGCAUCAGUUGGUCCUUAGUCAGAGGGCGAGCCAUGCGGGUGUGCUUCGUAAGGUGCUGGUCGACUUAAUUCGGCGCUUGUCUUCGUUUUCUUUCUUGUUGCUGUGCUUGUUCUUCUCCGACUGUUGUUCGGCUUCGUUCUUCUUCGACUAUCGCUGAGUUUCCUAUCAUCGUCGUCGCCUUCAGUUGGCACUCUCGGUGCACUGGGCGUGUUGGCAGGUAUUGUUAAAUGGGAGAAUUGAUGUUCUGCAAUUGGUAGUCAGACGUGAGUUCGCUGGCGAUCUGGGUCUUAAUAGCAGAAAUCAGUGGUUAAAUUUGGAGAUGCGACUGUGACAGCGAACAAUUGAGCAAGUAACUUGACGGUUUGAGUCCCUAACGACAAUUGAGGAGAGGCAACGUUGUUCAGAAUCCGUGUUGUGAAGGUGUUCGAAAUAUAGUACCGAUUUGUUAGUGCUGAUGAGCGAAGGUGGUUGUGCAUUAAAACACAUAGUUGUGGAAGUUCGGUUAAGUGUGGGAUGAACUGAGUGUGGAUGAUCCAAUUUGGAUGAAUACCUAAUCACAGAUGACACUUCUUUGGAUGAAUAUUAUUAAUGGAUGAAUUCUCAUUUGUGGAUCAUUUUUGCUCUUGAUCAUUUGGAGUUGAUUGUAAUACUGUUUGGUGUUUGGGGCUUGUUUGUUUGUUUUUUCAUUGCCAAUCUUGUAGUUGUGUUGUGCUUUGAAUGUGGAACUUUGUCAUGAAUUUAGAAAGUAAUUUUUUUUGUCAAUCUUGAAGAUAGAUAGUACCUCUUGGUCCACCAAAUACCUUAUUAUUGUCAUCUUCAUCUUCUUCUUGGUCCAUCUAAGAUCGUGUCAUUGUCUUUUAGGUUAGCAUCAGAUUUUGUUAUUGUCUUCUUGGUCCUCAAGAUCCUCUUCCUUUAGGUUAGCAUCACUUUGUUAUUAUCAUCUUGUUCCUCAAGAUCUUCUUUGUUGAUGAUACUUUGUAGUGGGUACUUUUUUAUUUUUUGUUGUUUAGCUUGUCUCAUUUGCCAUUGUUCUCAACUUUUACUUUCAUCUUAUUUUUAAUCACCAUUGUUUUUGUUACUUGUGAUUACUUGAUGCUAUUGUAAUAGCAACUUAUAUGGUUUGCUCUCAUAACAAGGUUUGCUUUGAUUGUAUGAUUUUGUUCAUUCUCUCAUGCCUAUGCUUUCAACACUUGCUUCUCCUUUUCUUUGUCAUUGUUGUCAAUGUUAGUAUUUGUGCUAUGUCAAGUUAUUGUCCAUCAUCGCAUGAAGGAUUUUAAAUUAGUCAAAGAAAUGUUAUAGAAGUUAAGGUGAGGUAGAAAUAAGGAAGAGGAUUUGAACAAAUUGGUUGCAUAGUUCAUUAAAAAGUAGUUGAAUUCUUUGAAGGCCAAGAUGUACAACCUUUAGAAUAUUAUUUCUACCCUCCAUCUUGAUCCCUUGUCUUAUGUUCUUGAAUUCUUUGCGUUUUUAAGUUUCUUAUAUUUUCAAGAUCAUGACAAAUCAAAAGUCUCUUUUGAUCUAAAUUGCCUCUUGGCGUAGCAUGGGAGGAGAGGGAUGUGCUACACAUGUGGGAUCUUAAAAUUCAUAUAUAAAUAUUUUAUUUGAGUGCUUAUCUUUUAUAUGUUGAAAUUACAAUCAUCUAUUUCUUGCUACAAUUGGAAUUGACUUGGGUGUACUAAAUUUGUGAAGAAUUUUGAUACAUUGCAAAUGCUUACGGAAUUGUAGGAUUAUAAGGAUGUUAUGAAGUUUUGCAAUAAGAAAUUGGUGCAUUGUAUAUGAUCUAUGAUGCAAGAAUAUAGUUUUUAAAGAAUUUUUGUAGAAAAAAGUAGUUUGUUGUAUUGAUAUUCUAUGAAAUUUUGAAGGAGAUAAAUAUUUAAUUUUGGUAUA
Physcomitrium patens is the source of this 4059-nucleotide long non-coding RNA. RefSeq lists it as uncharacterized. The record is from RefSeq and is a predicted model, not a curated record. NCBI's taxonomy places the organism in Eukaryota, Viridiplantae, Streptophyta, Bryopsida, Funariales, Funariaceae.